Molecule: ribosomal RNA, 1372 nt
Filed under: uncultured bacterium
Lineage: Bacteria
Description: bacterial SSU rRNA
Rfam family: Bacterial small subunit ribosomal RNA
Source: RNAcentral
GAUGAACGCUGGCGGCGUGCCUAAUACAUGCAAGUCGAGCGAACGGACGAGAAGCUUGCUUCUCUGAUGUUAGCGGCGGACGGGUGAGUAACACGUGGAUAACCUACCUAUAAGACUGGGAUAACUUCGGGAAACCGGAGCUAAUACCGGAUAAUAUUUUGAACCGCAUGGUUCAAAAGUGAAAGACGGUCUUGCUGUCACUUAUAGAUGGAUCCGCGCUGCAUUAGCUAGUUGGUAAGGUAACGGCUUACCAAGGCAACGAUGCAUAGCCGACCUGAGAGGGUGAUCGGCCACACUGGAACUGAGACACGGUCCAGACUCCUACGGGAGGCAGCAGUAGGGAAUCUUCCGCAAUGGGCGAAAGCCUGACGGAGCAACGCCGCGUGAGUGAUGAAGGUCUUCGGAUCGUAAAACUCUGUUAUUAGGGAAGAACAUAUGUGUAAGUAACUGUGCACAUCUUGACGGUACCUAAUCAGAAAGCCACGGCUAACUACGUGCCAGCAGCCGCGGUAAUACGUAGGUGGCAAGCGUUAUCCGGAAUUAUUGGGCGUAAAGCGCGCGUAGGCGGUUUUUUAAGUCUGAUGUGAAAGCCCACGGCUCAACCGUGGAGGGUCAUUGGAAACUGGAAAACUUGAGUGCAGAAGAGGAAAGUGGAAUUCCAUGUGUAGCGGUGAAAUGCGCAGAGAUAUGGAGGAACACCAGUGGCGAAGGCGACUUUCUGGUCUGUAACUGACGCUGAUGUGCGAAAGCGUGGGGAUCAAACAGGAUUAGAUACCCUGGUAGUCCACGCCGUAAACGAUGAGUGCUAAGUGUUAGGGGGUUUCCGCCCCUUAGUGCUGCAGCUAACGCAUUAAGCACUCCGCCUGGGGAGUACGACCGCAAGGUCGAAACUCAAAGGAAUUGACGGGGACCCGCACAAGCGGUGGAGCAUGUGGUUUAAUUCGAAGCAACGCGAAGAACCUUACCAAAUCUUGACAUCCUUUGACAACUCUAGAGAUAGAGCCUUCCCCUUCGGGGGACAAAGUGACAGGUGGUGCAUGGUUGUCGUCAGCUCGUGUCGUGAGAUGUUGGGUUAAGUCCCGCAACGAGCGCAACCCUUAAGCUUAGUUACCAUCAUUAAGUUGGGCACUCUAAGUUGACUGCCGGUGACAAACCGGAGGAAAGUGGGGAUGACGUCAAAUCAUCAUGCCCCUUAUGAUUUGGGCUACACACGUGCUACAAUGGACAAUACAAAGGGCAGCGAAACCGCGAGGUCAAGCAAAUCCCAUAAAGUUGUUCUCAGUUCGGAUUGUAGUCUGCAACUCGACUACAUGAAGCUGGAAUCGCUAGUAAUCGUAGAUCAGCAUGCUACGGUGAAUACGUUCCCGGGUCU